RNAcentral lists this ribosomal RNA (541 nucleotides) under Bacillus altitudinis. RNAcentral's name for it is "bacterial SSU rRNA". It matches the Rfam family "Bacterial small subunit ribosomal RNA", at positions 68 to 593 of the family's 1533-position model. Lineage: Bacteria; Bacillati; Bacillota; Bacilli; Caryophanales; Bacillaceae. The record is from RNAcentral.
GACAGAAGGGAGCUUGCUCCCGGAUGUUAGCGGCGGACGGGUGAGUAACACGUGGGUAACCUGCCUGUAAGACUGGGAUAACUCCGGGAAACCGGAGCUAAUACCGGAUAGUUCCUUGAACCGCAUGGUUCAAGGAUGAAAGACGGUUUCGGCUGUCACUUACAGAUGGACCCGCGGCGCAUUAGCUAGUUGGUGAGGUAACGGCUCACCAAGGCGACGAUGCGUAGCCGACCUGAGAGGGUGAUCGGCCACACUGGGACUGAGACACGGCCCAGACUCCUACGGGAGGCAGCAGUAGGGAAUCUUCCGCAAUGGACGAAAGUCUGACGGAGCAACGCCGCGUGAGUGAUGAAGGUUUUCGGAUCGUAAAGCUCUGUUGUUAGGGAAGAACAAGUGCAAGAGUAACUGCUUGCACCAUGACGGUACCUAACCAGAAAGCCACGGCUAACUACGUGCCAGCAGCCGCGGUAAUACGUAGGUGGCAAGCGUUGUCCGGAAUUAUUGGGCGUAAAGGGCUCGCAGGCGGUUUCUUAAGUCUGAU